GUAGUUAGCCGGGGCUUCCUUGCAGGGUACCGUCAUUUGUUUCGUCCCCUGCGACAGAGAUUUACAACCCGAAGGCCUUCUUCUCUCACGCGGCGUUGCUGGGUCAGGCUUGCGCCCAUUGCCCAAUAUUCCCCACUGCUGCCUCCCGUAGGAGUCUGGACCGUGUCUCAGUUCCAGUGUGGCCGAUCAGCCUCUCAGCUCGGCUACCCAUCGUUGACUUGGUGGGCCGUUACCUCACCAACUAUCUAAUGGGACGCGAACCCCUCCCAAAGCGGAUUGCUCCUUUGACCUCAUCCCGAUGCCGGGUCGUGGUCUUAUGCGGUAUUAGCACUUGUUUCCAGGUGUUAUCCCCCUCAGAAGGUCAGGUUGCUCACGCGUUACUCACCCGUUCGCCACUAAGCUAUAUCCGAAAACNUAGCUCCGUUCGACUUGCAUGUGUUAGGCACGCCGCCAGCGUUCGUCCUGAGCCAGAAUCGAACCCUGA
Molecule: ribosomal RNA, 484 nt
Filed under: uncultured bacterium
Lineage: Bacteria
Description: partial 16S ribosomal RNA
Source: RNAcentral